Molecule: ribosomal RNA, 467 nt
Filed under: uncultured bacterium
Lineage: Bacteria
Description: partial 16S ribosomal RNA
Rfam family: Bacterial small subunit ribosomal RNA
Source: RNAcentral
GACGAACGCUGGCGGCGUGCUUAACACAUGCAAGUCGAACGGAAAGGCCCUGCUUUUGUGGGGUGCUCGAGUGGCGAACGGGUGAGUAACACGUGAGUAACCUGCCCUUGACUUUGGGAUAACUUCAGGAAACUGGGGCUAAUACCGGAUAGGAGCUCCUGCUGCAUGGUGGGGGUUGGAAAGUUUCGGCGGUUGGGGAUGGACUCGCGGCUUAUCAGCUUGUUGGUGGGGUAGUGGCUUACCAAGGCUUUGACGGGUAGCCGGCCUGAGAGGGUGACCGGCCACAUUGGGCCUGAGAUACGGCCCAGACUCCUACGGGAGGCAGCAGUGGGGAAUAUUGCACAAUGGGCGGAAGCCUGAUGCAGCAACGCCGCGUGCGGGAUGACGGCCUUCGGGUUGUAAACCGCUUUCGCCUGUGACGAAGCGUGAGUGACGGUACUGGGUAAAGAAGCACCGGCUAACUACGU